UUUCUUCUUCACUGCAUCUUCUUCUUCUCUCUUUUUCUUCUUUCUUGUAUCUUCAUCAUCCAUUAAAUUAUCAUGGGGGUUCUGUUCUUCAACAUCCCCCUCCCCCCCCUCUCAAGGUGAAAGGGAGAGAAUGGAACCCUAUCUUGCACAAAAUACUCCGAUGAGAACCCCCAGAUAAGGGUUUGGUAAAUAAAUCGGCAAGCUGAGAAUCCGAUGGAACAAAAGAAAGAGAUAUCAAGCCAGAGAGAAAUUGUUGACGAACAAAUUGGCAGUCCAGUUCCACAUGUUUGGUGCGUUCAUGAAAGACGAGGUUUUGAGCUAUAUGAAUCGCGGCUUGGCUAUUAGAGUAAAUAGGCACGGGUAAAGUAGGUUGGAUUGUGAGAUCUCCCAAAAGGCAAACAAGCUAAGUGAAUUAUGCAGUUACUCGACGCAUUGAAUGAUAUUCGGCUUCGGCAGAUGACAAAGAAAUGGAGGCCUGUUUCUUGGACUUCCAGGAAAUAGAGUCACCCCCGAGGGUAAUGAAGAACUCAUUUACUGAUCGUCUAGAAUCGUGACAGGCUGCCCAAUCAGCAUCGCAAAAGGCCAUCAAAUCAAAAGAAGGGUGUGAAGAUAAUAGAAUUCCUUGUGAGGGAACUGUGCGAAGAUAUCUUAACACACGUUGAGCAGCAGAGAGAUGAGAAAGACAAGGUUUUUGCAUGUAUUGGCUCAAAGACAAAACAACAAAGGAGAGGUCGGGUAUGGUGUUCGUCAGAUAGUUAAGCUUACCAACUAAAUGGCGAUAAAGACUUGGGUCAUCCAAUGGUGGCCCCAAAUCUGCCUGAAGCUUAGUGGAAGGAUCAAGUGGUGAAGUAAUCCGAGCUCAUGAACAAUGGAACUCCUGCAGUAACUCAAAGGUAAAUUUCCUUUUGUUGACAAUGAACCCCUAUUUUUCUACGAGUAUUUUUAUGCCUAGGAAAUAGUGAAUAUCCCCUAAGUGUUUCACCUUAAAUUCUGAAUUGAGAAAAUCAGUAAUAUGUUCAAUCUCUGUUGCAUCAUCUCCUGUGAGUAGGAUAUCAUCUACAUAUACUGCUAGGAUAGAAACAAGACCUUCAUUCUCUUUGUAGAAAAGAGAAUAAUCAUUGAGUGAAGUAGAAUAGCCUUUAAAGCUCAAAGCACCUACAAGUCUGGCAUACCACUGUCUGGGUGCCUGUUUUAACCCAUAAAGAGAUUUCUUCAGUAGACAUACUUGAUUUGGUUUAGGCUGAAGAACACCCGCAGGGAAUUUCAUAUAAACCUCUUCCUGCAAUUCCCCAUGGAGGAAUGCAUUAUUCACAUCAAGUUGUGACACUCCCCAACCUUUCUUCACAGUGACAGUCAAAAGACAUCUUAUAGUUGUCAUUUUGACCACUGGUGAAAAGGUUUCAAAAUAGUCAAUUCCUUCCUUUUGAAUGUGCCCCCUGACUACUAGUCUAACUUUCAAUCUUUCCACAGUCCCAUUUGAGAAGUGCUUGACCUUGUACACCCAUUUACAGGGUAAAGCUUUCUUCCCUAUAUGUAAAUCUACCACAUCCAAAGUGUGGUUUAAUUGUAAAGCUGCAAUAUAUGCUUACAUAGCUGCUUUCCAUCCUGGGUGUAUGGAAGCUUGGGCAUAGUUGUUAGGUUCAAAUAUGGUAGAAAGUGAGUGAACAAGAUGUUGUUUUGUAGCAGAAAGAGCCCUAAAAAAGAAAACAUUAGGUGCAGUAGGCCGUGUGAAACAAGAACCAGUGAGAUCAGAAAGAAUAAUAGCAUUGCACACAUAAUCCUUCAAAUAAGUAGGUCUUUGAGAAAUUCUGUCAGAUUUCCUGAUAGGUGGUGGAGGUGUAGGAAUCACAUUUUUGGAUAUUGGUUGAACAGGUAAAUAGGAAGGAGUGUAGGACUCUUCUAAGAUUGGUGUAAGGUUAGUUUCAGGAUGAAGUGAAGAGCGUGGAACUCUGAGUGAGAUAGGGCUAGAAACAGGUAUAGAAGCUAUGUCUGAAAUAGAAGAAUGUGGUGACGAAUCUAGUAGUAGAUUGUGUGAAGGAGAGUCAGUACUAGGAACUGAAGAUGGGGUAUAGGUUGGUGGCAUAGCUGGUACGUGAGUAUGGUUAGUGGAAUUAGAAUAAGAAGUAAAGUAGGUGUUGGAAUGUGGUGAAUAAAAAGGGAAGAAAUCUUCAUGGAAUUUGAUGUCCUUGGAAACAAAUACUAUUUUUGUAUAUUUGUCCAUUACUUUGUAUCCCUUUUGACCUUGUGCAUAGCCUAAGAAGAUACAAGACUUAGCUCUUGGCUCAAACUUUCCUCUGUUUUAAGAUAGAGUUGAUACAUAGCAUAAACACUCAAAACUUGUUAGAACCUCAUAUGCAAGUUCCUUCCCAAACAAAAUUGCAUAAGGUGUCUUCCCUUUCAACAAUUUGGAAGGGAACUUGUUGAUUAAAAAUAUUGCAGUUAAAACAUAUUCUCCCCAAUAUUGAAGAGGAAUAUUGGACUGAAAUAGUAAUCCUAUUGCAAUUUCCAGAAGGUGUCUAUGUUUCUUCUCAACUAUCUUAUUCUGUUGAGGUAUAGCUACACAAGAUGUUUCAUGAAUAAUCCCUUGUUCUUGAAAGAAUUUAGAUUUUUGUGUUCCCUUUCCCAAUUCCCAAGCAUUGUCUAAUCUUACUCUUCUUGUUUUCUUGUUGAAUUGCCUCUCUACCAUGUAGAGAAAAGACUUCAGGACUAGAAAGGCAUUACUUUUGGUACUUAGUAAAAAGGUCCAAGUGGCCCUACUAAAAUUAUCAACUAUGGUCAAGAAGUAAUUGUAACUAUUGUAUGUAGUAGUCCUAAAAGGUCCUCAAGUAUCUAUAUGAAUGAGAUCAAAUGGAGAUGUUGUCCUGAUUUGGCUAAUGGGAAAAGGGAGCCUAGUUUGCCUUGACUUAGCACAAAUUUUACACAUAUCAUUAAAAUUUGAAGGAAAAUGAACAAAAUUGAAUUUCUUCAUUACUGAAAAAGGCAAAUGCCCCAACCCGACAUGUCAUUGAAUUACAUCUGAAAGAGCAUUAGCAAAGACUGGAAAUAAACGAGAAGCUUUACUAGGUACUAGACUGGAAUCAUUUCCUUUUGGAAUGGAAAUUACAUUUUGCCUGAAUUGAAUUCUAGACUCAAAACUUCUAGGCUGGAGUAGAUAUAAUUCAUCUCUUACUUCACCACAAACUUGUCCCCUCCUCAUUAAAAGGACCUGCAAUAAACAUUGACUAGAAGUAAGAUUGAUGAAGCAUUUGAAUUGAGUGCAUAACUUAUGAACAGAUAACAAGUUAUACUUAAAAAAUGAAACAUAUAGCACCCUUUAUAAAACUAUAUCAGGCUAAAUGCAAACCUGUCCUAUGUGUGUGACAAAGAGCUAAAAAGAGUUAGGCAAACUUAUAUGUAGAGGCACAUGCAAAGGUGACAAAGUUAGGAAAGAUUUGGAAUCAAAACACAUGUUCUGAGGCACCCGAAUCAAUAAUCCAGGUUUUAGUAUUAAAAACAACAAGACAUGUCCUUGAAUAUUUAAGAAUAAUACCAGCAACAACAUUGGCACUAAUCUAUGAGUUUGCACUUCCUAUACUUCCAACUUGCACCUGUUUGAUUAAGUUUACUACUUCAGAAACCUGUUCUUUACUGAAAAACUGUGUCAGAUUGUUUGAAUGUCCUCCAUUGUUUUCAUCACCCUGCUGAUAUGCUAUUGUAACAUUUACUUUUAUUGUUUCUUGAAAGUUUCCGCUCUUGUUAAACUGAGAUUCAUUAGGGAAUCCUAUAAGUCUAUAGCAAUCAGCCCUUACAUGUCUUAUUUUUUAGCAAUGACCGCAACUAACAUUAGGAUUGAAUUUGAACUUCCUUGGAUUGGAUUUAUACUGUGUGUUAGCUGACUUUUAUUGAGGAUUCCACCCUUUUUGUGCUUGGUUAUUUUUUUUUGUGAAAACUUGUUCUAUGUGCAUACCAUGAAAGAAGCCCCAUUAGUAGAAUACUGUGGGCUCAUGUAGAUCUCCCUUUGGCUCUCAUCUUGUAGCAACAAUGAGUAAGUUUGAUCCAUGCUAGAGGUAGGACAAAGCACGAGUAUGUUUCCCCUUGCUUGUACAUAAGCACUAUUCAGCCCCAUUAUGAAUUAAAUGACCCCUUCGAUCUUCCAUGAAUUUAGCCAUCUUCUUUUUACCAUCACAGUUACAUGCACAAGUGCACCCUAAGUGUGAAUUAAGGGAGUCCAACUCAUCCCAUAGUCUCUUAAGAGUGGUGAAAUAACCUGAUAUGUUGUUGUUUUCUUGGAUUGUCUUUGAAAUUUCCUUCUGCAUAUGGUACAACUUGGCUCCACUUGACUGACCAAAUAUAUGUUCUAGGCUGCUCCAAAGGUCCUUAGUUGUUCUUGAGUAAAGUGACAUUGUCACCUAUCUCUUUUGUCAAAGAGUUCAGCAACCAGGAGGUGACCAUGUCAUUGCAUCUACUCCACAAUGGAUAAUCCUUGUCAUCCAUUGCUGGUUCAACAUAAGAUCCAUUGAUAAAACCAAGUUUAUUCUUGGCUGAGAUUGCAAUGAGGACAUAUAUUUUCAUCCUAGAAAUCCUCUUCCAUCAAAUGGUGAGCUUACCAAAGCCAUCCCUGGAGUAUCAGAAUAGUGUAAGUGAAUAGGGUGAUUGGAAUCAUUGGUUACUCCACUACUUGUUGAUCCAGAGACAAUAAUAUCAGUUGCAGCUUCUGUACCAUGCAUGAUUUGACGUACAGAUGAAGAUAGAGCUGAUUUGGGAAAGUUGACAGAGAUUUGAGAAAAUUUGUGAAUGGAUCGAGCUAAAUCCGCUCUGAUACUAUGAAAGAAAGACUGAGAUUUGUGAAAAUU
This 4832-nucleotide long non-coding RNA is filed under the name Nicotiana tabacum (common tobacco). RNAcentral describes it as "long non-coding RNA (NTAB_LNC008232)". Lineage: Eukaryota; Viridiplantae; Streptophyta; Magnoliopsida; Solanales; Solanaceae. The record is from RNAcentral.